GGCCCGUUCGUCUAGAGGCCUAGGACGCCGGCCUCUCACGCCGGUAACACGGGUUCGAAUCCCGUACGGGCUACCA
Molecule: transfer RNA, 76 nt
Filed under: bacterium
Lineage: Bacteria
Also listed under: 2 other names
Description: tRNA-Glu
Rfam family: tRNA
About the family: Transfer RNA (tRNA) molecules are approximately 80 nucleotides in length. Their secondary structure includes four short double-helical elements and three loops (D, anti-codon, and T loops).
Source: RNAcentral